GAUGAAGAACGUAGCGAAAUGCGAUACGUAAUGUGAAUUGCAGAAUUCAGUGAAUCAUCGAGUCUUUGAACGCACAUUGCGCCCCCUGGUAUUCCGGGGGGCAUGCCUGUCCGAGCGUCAUUGCUGCCCUCAAGCCCGGCUUGUGUGUUGGGUCUCGUCCCCCUUCCCGGGGGGACGGGCCCGAAAGGCAGCGGCGGCACCGCGUCCGGUCCUCGAGCGUGUGGGGCUUUGUCACCCGCUCUGUAGGCCCGGCCGGCGCUUGCCGAUCAACCAAAACUUUUUUCCAGGUUGACCUCGGAUCAGGUAGGGAUACCCGCUGAACUUAAGCAUAUCAAUAAGCGGAGGA
This 346-nucleotide unclassified non-coding RNA is filed under the name soil metagenome. Its description in RNAcentral is "partial contains 5.8S ribosomal RNA, internal transcribed spacer 2, and large subunit ribosomal RNA". The stretch from base 1 to 120 matches the Rfam family "5.8S ribosomal RNA", at positions 35 to 154 of the family's 154-position model. The record is from RNAcentral.